This 462-nucleotide ribosomal RNA is filed under the name uncultured bacterium. RNAcentral's name for it is "bacterial SSU rRNA". It matches the Rfam family "Bacterial small subunit ribosomal RNA", at positions 28 to 507 of the family's 1533-position model. The record is from RNAcentral.
GACGAACGCUGGCGGCGUGCUUAACACAUGCAAGUCGAGCGAUGAAGCUUCUUCGGAAGUGGAUUAGCGGCGGACGGGUGAGUAACACGUGGGUAACCUGCCUUAUAGUGGGGAAUAGCCUUUCGAAAGGAAGAUUAAUACCCCAUAAGAUUGUAGUUUCGCAUGAAACAGCAAUUAAAGGAGCAAUUCGCUAUAAGAUGGCCCCGCGGCGCAUUAGCUAGUUGGUGAGGUAACGGCCCACCAAGGCGACGAUGCGUAGCCGACCUGAGAGGGUGAUCGGCCACAUUGGGACUGAGACACGGCCCAGACUCCUACGGGAGGCAGCAGUGGGGAAUAUUGCACAAUGGGGGAAACCCUGAUGCAGCAACGCCGCGUGAGUGAUGACGGUCUUCGGAUUGUAAAGCUCUGUCUUUAGGGACGAUAAUGACGGUACCUAAGGAGGAAGCCACGGCUAACUACGUG